RNAcentral lists this ribosomal RNA (494 nucleotides) under uncultured bacterium. Its description in RNAcentral is "partial 16S ribosomal RNA". It matches the Rfam family "Bacterial small subunit ribosomal RNA", at positions 28 to 507 of the family's 1533-position model. The record is from RNAcentral.
GACGAACGCUGGCGGCGUGCUUAACACAUGCAAGUCGAACGGUGAAGCGCCUUCCUUUUUGGUGGGUGUGGAUGAGUGGCGAACGGGUGAGUAACACGUGAGUAACCUGCCCCCUUCUUCUGGAUAACCGCAUGAAAGUGUGGCUAAUACGGGAUAUUCUGGGUCUGUCGCAUGAUGGGUCUGGGAAAGAUAUUGUUUCGGUGGGGGAUGGGCUCGCGGCCUAUCGGCUUGUUGGUGGGGUGAUGGCCUACCAAGGCGGUGACGGGUAGCCGGCCUGCGAGGGUGGACGGUCACACUGGGACUGAGACACGGCCCAGACUCCUACGGGAGGCAGCAGUGGGGAAUAUUGCACAAUGGGCGCAAGCCUGAUGCAGCGACGCCGCGUGAGGGAUGGAGGCCUUCGGGUUGUGAACCUCUUUCGCCAGUGAAGCAGGCCUGCCUCGUUUGUGGGUGGGUUGACGGUAGCUGGAUAAGAAGCGCCGGCUAACUACGUG